UGGAGCCUCGGGGAACAGAAGGCUUGUGUCCGUGUCCACCAUGGCCCGCACUCCUCUCCUCCUCCUCCACCUCCUCCUUGCUCUCUGUACAGGUUUCGUGAGUUCUGUGCCGACUCAGCCGCCCUCGGUGUCUGUGGCCCUGGGACAGACGGCCACACUCACCUGCUCCGGUGUUAGCAGUAGCUAUAUACAUUGGUACCAGCAGAAACCCGGUCAGGCCCCUGUGCUGGUCAUAUACAAUAGUAACAGCCGACCCUCCGGGAUCCCCGAUCGAUUCUCCGGCUCUAAAUCUGGGAGCACGGCCACGUUGAGCAUCGCCAGGGCCCAGGCCGAGGAUGAGGCCGAUUAUUACUGUCAGGACUAUGCAAGCAGUAAUAAUCCUCACAGUGACACAGGGUGAUGGGGAAGUGAGACA
Ornithorhynchus anatinus (platypus) is the source of this 415-nucleotide non-coding RNA. Lineage: Eukaryota; Metazoa; Chordata; Mammalia; Monotremata; Ornithorhynchidae. The record is from the annotation of a RefSeq genome assembly.